This 76-nucleotide transfer RNA is filed under the name bacterium. Its description in RNAcentral is "tRNA-Ile". It matches the Rfam family "tRNA". Rfam says of the family: Transfer RNA (tRNA) molecules are approximately 80 nucleotides in length. Their secondary structure includes four short double-helical elements and three loops (D, anti-codon, and T loops). Further hydrogen bonds mediate the characteristic L-shaped molecular structure. tRNAs have two regions of fundamental functional importance: the anti-codon, which is responsible for specific mRNA codon recognition, and the 3' end, to which the tRNAs corresponding amino acid is attached (by aminoacyl-tRNA synthetases). tRNAs cope with the degeneracy of the genetic code in two manners: having more than one tRNA (with a specific anti-codon) for a particular amino acid; and 'wobble' base-pairing, i.e. permitting non-standard base-pairing at the 3rd anti-codon position. The record is from RNAcentral.
UGAGGAGUAGCUCAGAUGGCAGAGCAGACGACCGAUAAUCGUCAGGUCACUGGUUCGAUCCCAGUCUCCUCAACCA